CUCAGGAUGAACGCUAGCUACAGGCUUAACACAUGCAAGGUCGAGGGGCAGCAUGAACUUAGCUUGCUAAGUUGAUGGCGACCGGCGCGACGGGUGAGUAACACGUAUCCAACCUUCCGUUUACUCAGGGAUAGCCUUUCGAAAGAAAGAUUAAUACCUGAUAGUAUGGUGAGAUUGCAUGAUAGCACCAUUAAAGAUUUAUUGGUAAACGAUGGGGAUGCGUUCCAUUAGGUAGUAGGCGGGGUAACGGCCCACCUAGCCUGCGAUGGAUAGGGGUUCUGAGAGGAAGGUCCCCCACAUUGGAACUGAGACACGGUCCAAACUCCUACGGGAGGCAGCAGUGAGGAAUAUUGGUCAAUGGGCGAGAGCCUGAACCAGCCAAGUAGCGUGAAGGAUGAAGGUCCUACGGAUUGUAAACUUCUUUAUACGGGAAUAAAGUAUCCUACGUGUAGGAUUUUGUAUGUACCGUAUGAAUAAGCAUCGGCUAACUCCGUG
This 495-nucleotide ribosomal RNA is filed under the name uncultured bacterium. RNAcentral describes it as "bacterial SSU rRNA". It matches the Rfam family "Bacterial small subunit ribosomal RNA", at positions 23 to 507 of the family's 1533-position model. The record is from RNAcentral.